RNAcentral lists this ribosomal RNA (406 nucleotides) under uncultured bacterium. RNAcentral's name for it is "partial 16S ribosomal RNA". It matches the Rfam family "Bacterial small subunit ribosomal RNA", at positions 30 to 526 of the family's 1533-position model. The record is from RNAcentral.
AUUGAACGCUGGCGGCAGGCCUAACACAUGCAAGUCGAGCGAGCGGCGGACGGGUGAGUAAUGGAUGGGGAUCUGCCCGAUAGAGGGGGAUAACUACUGGAAACGGUGGCUAAUACCGCAUACUAUCGGAUGAAUCCAUAUGGGAUUAGCUAGGAGGUGGGGUAAAGGCUCACCAAGGCGACGAUCUCUAGCUGGUCUGCGAGGAUGAUCAGCCACACUGGGACUGCUACACGGCCCAGACUCCGACGGUAGUCAGCAGUGGGGAAUAUUGCACAAUGGGCGAAAGCCUGAUGCAGCCAUGCCGCUUGUAUGAAGAAGGCCUGAGGGUUGUAAAGUACUUUCAGCGGGGAGGCGUUACCCGCAGAAGAAGCACCGUCUAACUCCGUGCCAGCAGCCGCGGUAAUUC